CAAUUUAUAUUGUCUUAUAAUUUUCUACAUUCACGCUCAGUUAAUAAUUAAGCGUCUACAUAUUUAAGCAGACCUUGAAGGUAACUUUGGUCUCAACAAAUAACUUCCAGGACUUUGGAUGACUGAGGAGGGUAGACCUGCCCGACAUCGUCGAGAAUAGCUGUUGGCUGGUAGCAUUCCGUUCUCAUAAUGGCAUCCCCGGUGAGGAGAGCUUUAGAUAUAAGCUCGCUGGUUAUAGUCCAAUCGAUUAUGAUGGAACAGUAGAGCACACGAGCGAUGUUAAAUCUUCCAGCACUACUUGGGAGGGCUUGUAAGCAAGCUAAGUAAAUGGAACUUUUCCUCAACAGGACGAAACCAGAGACUGGCACCAGUUAAGGAUAGCGUGCGCAAAGUCAUCCGUACUCACGAGAGACAGGCACCGUCGCUAUCACGCUAUUAUCAUACUUCAGCUAUUAAAUUUUUAUUCUUAA
Long non-coding RNA from Cotesia glomerata, 470 nucleotides. RefSeq lists it as uncharacterized. NCBI's taxonomy places the organism in Eukaryota, Metazoa, Arthropoda, Insecta, Hymenoptera, Braconidae. The record is from RefSeq and is a predicted model, not a curated record. The transcript is spliced from 2 exons.